RNAcentral lists this transfer RNA (71 nucleotides) under Kiloniella litopenaei. It matches the Rfam family "tRNA". Rfam says of the family: Transfer RNA (tRNA) molecules are approximately 80 nucleotides in length. Their secondary structure includes four short double-helical elements and three loops (D, anti-codon, and T loops). Further hydrogen bonds mediate the characteristic L-shaped molecular structure. tRNAs have two regions of fundamental functional importance: the anti-codon, which is responsible for specific mRNA codon recognition, and the 3' end, to which the tRNAs corresponding amino acid is attached (by aminoacyl-tRNA synthetases). tRNAs cope with the degeneracy of the genetic code in two manners: having more than one tRNA (with a specific anti-codon) for a particular amino acid; and 'wobble' base-pairing, i.e. permitting non-standard base-pairing at the 3rd anti-codon position. The record is from Rfam by way of RNAcentral. Lineage: Bacteria; Pseudomonadati; Pseudomonadota; Alphaproteobacteria; Rhodospirillales; Kiloniellaceae.
GCGGGUGUAGCUUAGUGGUAAAGCCCUAGCCUUCCAAGCUAGUUAUGGGGGUUCGAUUCCCCCCACCCGCU